AUACUUACCUGGACGGAGUCAAUGGGUGAUCACGAAGGCCCAUGGCUUAGAUAAGGGACUUCCAUUGCACUUUGGAGGGGCCCAUAUCUAAGGUCUACCUAAAUGGUGGAGCCUACGUCAUAAUUUGUGGUAGUGGGGGCAUGCGUUCGCGCGGCCCCUGU
Molecule: small nuclear RNA, 161 nt
Organism: Prosopis cineraria
Lineage: Eukaryota; Viridiplantae; Streptophyta; Magnoliopsida; Fabales; Fabaceae
Product: U1 spliceosomal RNA
Exons: 1
Source: RefSeq, a predicted model, not a curated record